Stegodyphus dumicola is the source of this 522-nucleotide long non-coding RNA. RefSeq lists it as uncharacterized. Lineage: Eukaryota; Metazoa; Arthropoda; Arachnida; Araneae; Eresidae. The record is from RefSeq and is a predicted model, not a curated record.
CGGGCUCUUUCGGGGCUUUCGACGGCCGCAGAAUGACGUAAGUCGGAUUGCAUACAACAGCAGCAAAUAAGUAUCAAGUUCCGAUCUCUGAAAUCUGAAGUAAAUACAAAUGGAAGUUACAUACUUACUGUGCAGAAACAGAGGGAUGUCCUCACCAGAAGCGGUUCGUUUGGACGAUCCAAUUAAAUAACUGCAGAUAUACGUCACUUUGGCGUGUUUACAUGAAGAAGUAGGCGAAAAUGACAGUUGUUUUGGCUGCAAACUUUACAAAAAAAUUAAAUCAGCGCACAAGAACCAAGAGACGAUGAUGUGAUUCAGCAGCAGUUUCGCAGUUCGCCUCCGUGUGUUUCAAGGUGGUAUGAAGAAACUUUUCUUGAGGCUGAUAGUAAUUUCUGUCUACAGGUGAAGCUCAUCGAAGCAUAUUUUAUUUACAUUUAUUAUAUGAAACAGCAAAAGAAAGCGCAUAAAAAAAUUCCUUCGUGAUUAUGCUACUUUACUCGGCAAAUAAACAUCAGCUAGACA